Small nucleolar RNA from Planococcus citri (citrus mealybug), 92 nucleotides. RefSeq annotates it as small nucleolar RNA snR60/Z15/Z230/Z193/J17. Lineage: Eukaryota; Metazoa; Arthropoda; Insecta; Hemiptera; Pseudococcidae. The record is from RefSeq and is a predicted model, not a curated record. The transcript has a single exon.
UGUCGUUGAAUGAUGAUAUUAUAGUUCAAAUGACUUCGAUGAUUACCUCACUAGAGUUAUAAUAGUCUUUCGCUCCUAUCUGACCAACGACU